This 1413-nucleotide unclassified non-coding RNA is filed under the name Hevea brasiliensis (rubber tree). Lineage: Eukaryota; Viridiplantae; Streptophyta; Magnoliopsida; Malpighiales; Euphorbiaceae. The record is from RNAcentral.
CUUACAUCUUCAAUAUGUUCAAACUUAUUCUAAUGGCUUUCUUUGGAAUGACAAUAUUUCUGAGAACCGAGAUGCAUCGAAACACAGUAACAGAUGGUGGAACUUAUUUUGGUGCCCUUUACUAUGCAGUCGUAGCAAUUAUGUUCAAUGGACUUUCAGAGCUUGCAAUGACUGUCAUGAAACUUCCUGUUUUUUACAAAGAAAGAGACCUACUCUUUUAUCCUUCAUGGGCAUAUGCUUUGCCCACAUGGAUUCUAAAGAUUCCAAUCAACUUGGUAGAAGUUUCCAUAUGGGUGAUUUUGACAUAUUAUGUUAUAGGCUUUGAUCCUAACUUCGAAAGGUUUUUCAAGCAGUGCCUGAUGCUCCUAAUCACUCAGCAGAUGGCAUCCUCACUGUUUCGACUAAUAGCAGCUCUAGGAAGAAAUAUGAUUGUAGCUAACACAAUUGCAACGUUAUCAUUACUAGCAACAUUGGUUCUAGGUGGAUUUAUCCUAUCACGAGAUGAUGUGAAGAAAUGGUGGAUUUGGGGUUAUUGGUUGUCACCAAUGAUGUAUGCGCAGAAUGGAAUUGCUGUGAAUGAAUUUCCGGGGAAGAGUUGGAAUCAUUUUCCUGCUAAUUCAACAGAGACAUUAGGAGUUAUGGUCUUGAAGUCCCGUGGAAUAUUCCAUGAAGCUUACCGGUACUGGAUUGCUGUUGGAGCUCUGAUUGCAUAUAUCUUUCUAUUCAAUUUCCUUUUCACUUUGGCCUGAAAUAUCUCAAUCCAUUUGAGAAGCCUCAAGCAAUACUUUCAGAAGAGGCCUUUGCUGAGCAAAAUGCAAACAAUACUAGGGAGUUCACAGAAAUUGGGAGUGCAAGCAAUAGGAAUUCCUCAUCCAGGAUGCCAUCUGUUAGGGUGAGAAACUUUAGUGAUGCAAACCAGGACACGAAGCAGGGAAUGGUUCUCCCAUUUCAACCCCUUUCCAUCACUUUCGAUGAAAUCAGAUAUGCUGUACACAUGCCACAGGAAAUGAAAGCUCUAGGUAUUACUGCAGAUCGUCUAGAACUUUUGAAGGGUAUAAGUGGUGCUUUCAGGCCAGGAGUCCUGACAGCCCUAAUGGGUUCUAGUGGUGCUGGAAAGACCACUCUAAUGGAUGUAUUGGCUGGAAGAAAAACUGGAGGUUACAUUGAGGGAAACAUGACAAUAUCUGGAUACCCAAAGAGGCAAGAAACUUUUGCUCGGAUAUCGGGAUACUGUGAGCAAACUGACACCCAUUCCCCUCAUGUUACAGUCUAUGAAUCAUUACUUUAUUCUGCAUGGCUUCGACUACCAAUUGAGGUUGAUUCUAAUAAAAGAAAGCUGUUCAUUGAGGAAGUAAUGGAGCUUGUGGAACUGACUUCUUUAAGAGAAGCAAUUGUCGGAUUGCCUGGUGUGAA